Junco hyemalis (dark-eyed junco) is the source of this 581-nucleotide long non-coding RNA. The record is from Ensembl. NCBI's taxonomy places the organism in Eukaryota, Metazoa, Chordata, Aves, Passeriformes, Passerellidae.
CCCAUGUGCUGUGGACUCAUCCACUCCCCAGUUAUUACUACUCUUCCAUCUGCUUUUCCCCCUCCUUUGCUAUCUCACACACAUACACAAUCACUUAUGUAAAGUCACCCAGGACAGGAAGAAUCCAACAAUAACUGUUAUUAGCACUGCAAAGGAAAAAACAUUGCUGGUUUUCAUUGGAAAUCUUCCUGAAUGGAUACCUGCAUGGCAACCUCGGCACAACAUGAUGGUCGUAACCCAGUUUGGAGCAGAACUGUGAAAGAGGAAUUCACAACACAAAGCCAUCUCCACGCUGGCAAGCAAUCUCAGAAGAAAAGACAAGAAUUGGCAGGCCUGAAAAGAAAACCACCUUUCUCACCUUUACUGGAAAAAACAGGGCUGUUAGGUGGAAUGACUUUCAGUGUCUAGCAGUGUGAACUAGAGAUGAACUGCUCUUCUGGAGGGUAAAGGUUGGCUUCUAUUUUCUCUCAGGUGCAACUAAAGUUUCCUAAGGCAAGAAACGGAAAAAGAAUCAGCAACAUCUGGAGUUAUCUAUGCUUCUGCCAAAUAAAACGAACACGUCUGAAGAGGGCUGUUACUCA